This is an RNA transcript of Vespula pensylvanica (western yellowjacket), 3472 nucleotides long. It is a transcript of the gene named histone acetyltransferase KAT7, with no coding region annotated. The record is from RefSeq and is a predicted model, not a curated record. Lineage: Eukaryota; Metazoa; Arthropoda; Insecta; Hymenoptera; Vespidae. The transcript is spliced from 16 exons.
GUAAAGUAUCUUCUAUGUAUAUGUAACGAUAAUACUGUUAUUUUGCGCGAAAUAAUAUUGAAAAUAUAAAUCAUUUUCAUGAAUGUGUACUCGUAGCAUUCAUGAGAGAAAUGAUAUUUAAUGAUUUUUCGAAUUCAUUAGAAAGAUAGCAUCGUAGAAAUGACUCCAAAACGCAAAACUACUAGUUCGGAAUCUACUUCAUCAUCGAGCUCUGGCUCUUCAUCUAGUAGUUCUUCAAGUUCUGGCAGUGAAUCUAGUUCAUCUGAUUCAGAAAACUCCAGCAGUUCUGUUAAUAGUCAAAAAGCAUCUGAUUCGGAAAGAUCUAAAAAGAAGGUACCGUUUCCAGCCGCAAGACAUGUCAAAUCUAAAACUGAGCCAACUCCUACUACUACGGCAGAAAAUAAAAACAAAGAAAAAGUACAACCUAAAUCUAGACCAGUAGUUUAUUCCUCGGAAUCUGAAGAAUCACCUAAUAAGUUGAAAUCUGUGAAAAGGAAACUACCUGCCAAACCUAAAGCUACUGCUACUGUAGCACCUGUAGUUAAAGUUCAAAAACCGCCAACUAAACCAGUAUCUAAUGUUACGCAACAUAAAAAUAUUCCAGCUGUAAAGCCAAGUAAUAAACAGGCCAAACUUUCAGGUCCUGUAGCAACAAAUACGAAAGUAGCAGAUAAAUCUACGAAAAUGACAUCGGAACCGGUACAAAAGAAAUUAAAAAAGAAGAGUAUAUUUAGUCCUGAAAAUAGUAGCGAAAGUGACAAUGCUUCCCCACCAAAAGUAAAUACGAUAAAAGCAGCGAACAAUACCGUAAAAUGUACAAAGGCUCCACCUAAAAUAAAACCUGCUGAUCCCAAAAUAAAACCUACCAUACCAUCAAGACCUGCACUAGUUACUAAAACUCCGCAAAUUCAAAAAUCUGAUAGUUCGGCUAGUUCAAAGAGCUGUUCGGGUGGAUCAGGUUCUUCUGGUUCAACAGAUAGCAGUAGCGAUUCUGAUUCAUCAGAAAGCGUUACUAGUCCACAAUCUCAACCUAAAAAGAAGGAUGUUCCACCACCUGUUACACAAAAUGUUACUACAAAUGCACAACCGAAAAGGCCAUCAGCCACAGUAGCACCAGUUAAACCUUUGAAAUGUACAAAGAAACAAGGUAGGGUAAAAAGUGAAGAUGAUGGAGAUGCAUCAGGCAGCGAUAAGGAAAUGGAUGAUAAUACAGAAGUAAGUUCUUCUAAAGGAACGGUUAAAGGCAAACGAAAGUUGCAAACUCGCAAAGGAAGCAAACUAUUACAACUGCAGGCGAAAGCUGCUAGUGACUCCGAAUCGGAUACAGUAUGGUUCUCAGGUACGGAAACGGUAGAGCGUAAACGUAUCCUGCAAAUUCCACUGAUCCGGUGUGAUUUGUCGGGAGUAGCUGAAAGCAAGAGAAGUACGAGCAAGUCGCCAGUUAAGCGUGCUGGUCCUAGUCAAGGCGCUAGACAUUCAUCAUCCACAGCGAAUAGAACCACGCAGAGCAGUGCUGGAUCUAAUACAGUUGCUAAUAGAACUGGACAAAACUCAUACAAUCGUACACGUACUACAAAGGAAAGAGAAUGUCCAUUGGCAGCAUGUUGCGAUUCCAGAGGUCAUCUUUCUGGGAAACUGGAAACGCAUUUUACAUUGGAAGCUUGUCCUUUAUAUCACAAUACUACGCCACAAAAUUGCAUAGAAUUUUAUAAAGAAAGGAAGAAAAGGGAAGAAGAACGAAAGAAGUCGAUAGCUAAUCUUGCUAAAAAAUCACCUAAAGGAGGACAUCAGACAAACGAGCAACGUAAUUAUCAACUUAAAGUUAAAGAAAUGAGAAACAAAUGGAAGCCUCAUACCGGGGAAGAUAAUGGAAGUGACAGUGGUAACGAUCUUCCUGGAAAUGAAAAGGACAGACAACCGCGUUUAACUAAUCUAACUUCGGAUUAUGAUCUGAAAUUAUUUAUGGAAGCUCAAGCAAUUGCCAGUGAAAAAAUAGAAAAAGAGUUAAAAGAAUUGGAUUAUGAUGGAGAAGGUAGAAACAGUGGUGGCACGCGAUGCGUUGAAAUGGGAAAAUGGGAAAUGGAAGUUUGGUAUCAAAGUCCAUAUCCAGAAGAAUUUAGUCGUGCUCCUAAACUUUAUCUUUGCGAAUAUUGUUUAAGAUACGCUAAAAGUCGUCAGGUAUUAAGAAGACAUCGAGAAAAAUGUUUGUGGAGACAUCCACCUGGACAUGAGGUAUACAGAAAAGAUAAAAUUGGUGUCUGGGAAGUGGAUGGUAAACGUUACAAACAAUAUUGCCAAAAUUUGUGCCUCCUAGCAAAGUUCUUUUUGGAUCACAAAACUCUUUACUAUGACGUGGAACCAUUCCUCUUCUACGUGAUGACUAUAGGUGAUUCUGAAGGAUGUCAUACAGUUGGUUAUUUCAGUAAGGAAAAGAAUUCUUUCCUGAACUACAACGUCUCCUGUAUCCUGACGUUACCACCAUAUCAGAGACAAGGCUAUGGUCGACUUCUCAUCGACUUUAGUUAUCUAUUAACAAGGGUUGAGAAGAAGAUAGGUUCGCCAGAGAAACCUUUAUCGGAUUUGGGUCUAAUAUCUUAUCGAAGUUAUUGGAAGGAUGUUUUGUUACAAUAUCUUUGCAAUUUUGGUGGCAAGGAACUUUCAGUGAAAGACAUUAGCAAAGAAAUGGCGAUUGACUCUUAUGAUAUUGUAAGUACUUUGCAAGCUCUUGGAAUGAUGAAGUAUUGGAAAGGCAAGCAUAUUAUAUUGAAGAAACAGGACGUGAUAGACGACUACAAGGAGAGGGUGAAGAGACGAGGUCUCGUCUACAAGGAGAUCGAUCCGGAGUGCCUAAAAUGGAAUCCCUUCCAACCUCCCAAGACUCCCUCAGCUUCGAACUAAGAGGGCAAAGAGGAAGAUCGAAAAGAGAUGAAGAAAAAAAGGAAAAGGAGAAAGGAGGAGGUUGGACUCUUCUCUCUUAGAAGCCGUAAAGCAGAUUUCACGCCUGUAACGAUUGGUAAGGGCCAUAGAAUCCUUCCUGGAACUCGUUCUUUCCACGUCGAAGUCUCUGAAGAGACCAAUGAGGAACGUGCAAAAGUGGACUGAGAAGAAGAUUAGAUGAGAAAUUGAUGUGAUCACUAUAGUUUAGACCCCUCGUAUCUUGACCUUGUAGGUCGGGGAUAGAAAAGGGAUGGAAGGUCAGCUUAUAUAUGAAAUCACCAAUCAUAAGUGAGGAAUAUAGCACAAUUCUACAAUUCAAUUGCUGACAGUCAGCAGUUUUUAUGGACAAGCUAAAACACCAUAGGAACGUCUCAAGAAAUGUAUUACAUCAACAUUAAUAGUUUUAAUUAUAACUAUGUACAAUGUUGUUAUUACAUUUACCUACCUAUGUAAAUUAUUUAUAAGACUGUACAAAUAUAAUUUUAUUGUAAAAUCGAAAAUUUAUAGAAUAAAAAUUUGAAUUUUUACAAAUCAA